This 212-nucleotide ribosomal RNA is filed under the name uncultured bacterium. RNAcentral describes it as "partial 16S ribosomal RNA". It matches the Rfam family "Bacterial small subunit ribosomal RNA", at positions 567 to 776 of the family's 1533-position model. The record is from RNAcentral.
GGUGCGCAGGCGGUUAGUUUUGUGGGUGGUGAAAUCUCCUGGCUCAACUGGGAGGGGGCCGAACCAAACGGGCUAACUUGAGGCGUGGAGAGGGACGUGGAAUUCCGGGUGGAGCGGUGAAAUGCGUAGAGAUCCGGAGGAACACCGACGGCGAAGGCAGCGUCCUGGCCACGACCUGACGCUCAGGCACGAAAGCUGGGGGAGGCAAAACA